This 1754-nucleotide ribosomal RNA is filed under the name Prorocentrum micans. RNAcentral's name for it is "Eukaryotic small subunit ribosomal RNA". It matches the Rfam family "Eukaryotic small subunit ribosomal RNA". The record is from RNAcentral. Lineage: Eukaryota; Dinophyceae; Prorocentrales; Prorocentraceae.
UGAUCUUGCCAGCAGUGAUAUGCUUGUCUCAAAGACUAAGCCAUGCAUGUGUCAGUAUAUAUUUUGCAUUAGAAAACUGCGGAAAGCUCAUUAGAAAAGUGUAAAUGAAAAGUCAUAAUAAUAAUAUGCAUACCUUCUGUAAUUCUGAGGCUAAUGGAUGCAGGCGAUAAGGCAGUUCCAAAACAUGCACAUGAUGAGUUGAAAUAUCACCAAUUUAUUGGGAAUAUGUGCAAUACAAUUAUGUAAGCUGUUGCUUGUCACAUAGGCGAUUAUAUUCUUACCUAUCAGCUUGCGAUGAUACGCUAGUAACGUAUUAUGGCUGUUACGGGUGGCGAAGAAUUAGGGUUUGAUCUCGGAGAGGACGCUUGAGAAAUAGCGGCUACAUCUAAGGAAGGCAGCAGGCGCGUAAAUUACCCAAUCUUGACACAAGGAGGUAGUGACAAGAAAUAACUGUGUGUGGCUCUAUGCUGCACAUCCGGAAUGUGUGACAGGUUAAGCGUGUUGCGAGUAGCUAUUGGAGGGCAAGUCUGGUGCCAGCAGCCGCGGUAAUUCCAGCUCCAAGAGUGUAUAUUAAAGUUGUUGCGGUUGAAAAGCUCGUAGUUGGAUUUAUGCUAUGCUGGUACAGUCGACCCCCUGGGUAGGACUUGUAUUGUUGCAUUGCACACUGUAGAAUUUGUGUAUGUUUUUCAGUAAAUGUGCAGAAUACUACUUAGUUACUUUGAGGAAAGUGGAGUGUCACACGCAGGUUGCGCCGUGAACAUGCUAGCAUGGCAUGACGCUGUAUGACUACGAGUCUUUUUGAACGGUUUCGGGACACGUGGUAAUGAUUGAUAUGAGGUGUUGGGGAUACUCAUAUUUGACAGUUAGAGGUGAAAUUCUUGGAUUUGUCAAAGAUGAACAAAUGCAAUAGCAUUUAUCAUGGAUGUUUCAUUUGAUCAAGAACGAAAGUUAGGGGAUCGAAGACGAUCAGAUACCGUCCUAGUCUUAACCAUAAACUAUGCCAACUGGAAAUUGGAAUAUAUGGAGAGAAAAUAUAUUCAGUAUUGUGCCUGAAAAGAGUAAGUGUGUGGGCUCCGGGGGGAGUAUAGUUGCAAGACUGAAACUUAAAGGAAUUGACGGAAGGGCACCACCAGGAGUGGAGCCUGCGGCUUAAUUUGACGCAACACGGGAAAUCUCACCAAGUCCAGACAUACGCAGGAUUGACAGAUUAAUUGCUCUUUCUCGAUUGUAUGGGUGGUGGUGCAUGGCCGUUCUUAGUUGGUGGAGUGAUUUGUCUGGUUAAUUCCGUUAACGAACGAGAUCCUAUUCUGCUAACUGUUGCAACAGUCUUUGGAAUGUUGGUACACUUAGAGGGACAUUGCGUGAGUAAUGCACGGAAGAGUCGGGCAAUAACAGGUCUGUGAUGCCCUUAGAUGUCCUGGGCUGCACGCGCGCUACAAUGGCACAUGCCCCAAUGUACCUAUGUCUGACAAGAACAUAGGAUCAAGCAACGAUGCCGUGCCGGGAAUAGAUGAUUGUAAUUUUUUAUCUUGAACGAGGAAUUCCUAGUAAGAACAGAUCAACAAUCUGUGCUGAUUACGUCCCUGCCCUUUGUACACACCGCCCGUCGCUCCUACCGAUUGAGUAAUCCGGUGAAUGGUGACGAUUGUUCGAACGCUCUUGAGCCUCGUGCAACAAGCAUCGUUAACCUCACUACUUAGAGGAAGGAGAAGUCGUAACAAGGUUUCCGUAGGUGAACCUGCGGAAGGAUCAUU